Callithrix jacchus (white-tufted-ear marmoset) is the source of this 6118-nucleotide RNA transcript. It is a transcript of the gene named procathepsin L, with no coding region annotated. The record is from RefSeq and is a predicted model, not a curated record. NCBI's taxonomy places the organism in Eukaryota, Metazoa, Chordata, Mammalia, Primates, Cebidae.
AUAAUCUCGUGAGGUAAGUGGGAAGAUCGAUCCACUUAAUGGAUGAGAAAAGUCUCACAGAAUUAGCCUAAGAUAUCACAGCAAACAAGUGGGAAAGCCUGAAUUUGAGCCAGGUCUCCAGAUUUCAGAUUCAGGUCAACACCUGCCCUGUGUGACCUGCACAGGAAGUUGAGGGUUGCAGGGCCAGAGACCCUGAAGCUGCUGAGAGGCGAAGCUGAGCAAGGCCUUUUUUUUUUCAAGAUGGAAUCUCGUUGUUGCCAGGCUGGAGUGCAGUGGUAUGAUCUCGGCUCACUGCAACCUCCACCUCCUGGGUUCAAGCGAUUCUCCUGCCUCAGCCUCCUGAGUAGCUAUCACUACAGGUGUGUGCCACUACACCCAGCUAAUUUUUUUUUUUUUUUGUAUUUUUAGCAGAGAUGGAGCUUCACCAUGUUGGUCGGCCUGGUCUCGAACACCUGAUCUCAGGUGAAGCUGUCAGACUUCGGGUUCUGUGCCCAGGUGAGCAAAGAAGUGCCCUGGAGGAAGUUGCUGGUCGACAAACCCUACUGGAUGGCCCCAGAGCUCAUCUCCCGCCUUCCCUAUGGGCCAGAGGUGAGCCCCAGGGUGGCUUGGUUGUCCUGCUGUUGGCAGCUCUAGUCCAGCUGCAGUGCUGGCGGGAGGUGGGGCUCAGCCUGGGGAGUGGUUGCCAGGAAUGGUGCUCUGGAUGAGGAGGUACUGCAGGCAUGCAUAUGUUCAUGAAUUCAUUCAUUCUUUAUUUUCUUUCUUUUUGAAAUGGAGUCUUGCUCUGUUGCCCAGGCUGGAGUGCAGUGGUGUAAUCUCAGCUCACUGCAACCUCUGCCUCCCUGGUUUCAAGUGAUUCUCUUACCUCAGCCUCCUGAGUAGCUGGGAUUACAGGUGCCCACCACCAUGCCCAGCUAAUUUUUGUAUUUUUAGUAGAGACGGGGUUUCACCAUGUUGGCCAGGCUGGUCUCCAACUCCUGACCUCAGGUGAUCUUCCUGCCUUGGCCUCCCAAAGUGCUGGGAUUACAACCAUGAGCCACUGCUUCCAACCUUGGCUCUGAUUUCUGAGUGAUGUCUUCAGGCAGGCCGCUUUCCCUUUGUGGGAGCAGAGCCCACCCCAGCAGUUAUGGGAAAUGUCUCCUGCCUAUGGGCUCCCCUCUUUCCAUGGCUGUUUUGGGUAAAGUCCCCAGCUUGGCUCAUAAAGCCUGAGCAGGUGCACACUGCCUUGCUUUGACAGGAUAAAGCAAGAAGUGAGCCCACCCUGGAUCCUGAGGCUCUGAGCUUGAUGGAGCCCAGAGUUCCCUCCAGGCCGCUUCCUUCACAGAUCUUGAAGCUGAGGUCAAGACGAAGCAGGGGCAGAUCCCGGGUGCUCCCCAGGCAAAGAGAGCUGAUCUCGGGGCUGGGGUCACAAGCCUCCUCUCCUGCCACGUUUAGGGCCCUAGAGCCAGGGAGGAUGAGAGACCAGAGGCCUUUAGUUCACCCCUGGGGCUGGACAGAGGCUCAGCCUGUGCCGCAUCCCGAAGCUGUUCUGGCCAGUCUGAGCCACGGCCCCUUUAAGAGGGGGUGGUGCUUCAGCUUGAGGCCAGGGUCGCUGCCUGCGUGCGUGCCCUACGGAAGCCAAGACUGCGCUUCCUGCGAGGAUCCGGCGUUAGCCGUGGCUUGGCUGGAGGGAGUCAGCAGAGGCCGCGGUCCCCCUGGUCGGAGGGCGUCAGCAGAGGCGGUGGCAGCACCCCCCAUCACGCUGAGGGAGUCAGCAGGGGUGGCGGCGGCCCCCUGUGCCGGAGGGAGUCAGCAGAGGGGGCGGCGCCCUCCCCCCCUCCACCCAGCCAGAGGGAGUCAGCAGAAGCGGGGGCGUGGUCAGAGCGAGUUUCUUCGGAGAAGCCGAGGUGGCUUCCACGUGUUGGUGGAGGAGGAGGCAGAUCUCUGCGAUUCUUCUAAAUACUUGGGCCUACCUGCUCCAAGCUAGCUUAGAGGAGGAAGAGUAGUCUCCUGCCACCCAUGCUGGAGGCUGGAGCCUGCAGUAUUGCCUCGCCUCACUGUUGUGGUUGGUGGCAGUGACUGAGACUACAGCGCAACUGGAAAGGCUUUUCUGGCUUUGCCCUCCUAGCUGCUCAAUGCCAUGAGAAGGAAGAGCCAUCUGCUGCAUGCCGGAGGCUGGAGCCUGUGGCACCAUGGCUCACCUCGCUGCAGUGGGUGGCAGCAAUGGAGACUGCAGAGCGCCAGAGAGGUUGGCCUUGAACUCAUGGCCUCGCCUCCUCAAGCACCAGGACAACUGGCCAGAGCCACCAUGGCCCCCAAGGAAGUCUUUUUUAAAAAAAAUGCAGUUGUAAUGGCUGGAGUUCCAGCAGCCACUUUAGACCAUAACAUGGAAAUGAAGCAUUAAGGAUGGCAAAGCAAAAAGCUAAAAGCCUGAGACACGAUGACCAUGGGGCUGCCAUCCUACCCCAGGACUGUCUCCCUUCAGACAUCUUUUAUGUGAGAAAAGAAUAAAGCCACUAUUAUCUUUUGUUUUACUUACACAGCUGAACCAAAUUCUAAUGAAUCCAUAUAGGUUCAUCCUGAGCAGAUGAUGCUCAGAGCAAGAUGGAGCUCAGAGUGAUUGGAGCACUGAGCAAGAUGGAGCUCAGAGCAGAUGGAACUCUGAGCAAGAUGGAGCUCUGAGUAUAUGGAGCUUGGAGCAACAUGGAGCUUGGAGCAGAUGGAGCUCUGAGCAAGAUGGAGCUCUGAGUAGAUGGAGCUUGGAGCAAGAUAGAGCUCAGAGCAGAUGGAGCUCUGAGCAAGAUGGAGCUUGGAGCAGAUGGAGCUUGGAGCAGAUGGAGCUCUGAGCAACAUGGAGCUCUGAGCAGAUGGAGCUCGGAGCAAGAUGGAGCUCAGAGCAGAUGGAGCUUGGAGCAGAUGGAGCUCAGAGCAAGAUGGAGCUCGGAGCAAGAUAGAGCUCAGAGCAGAUGGAGCUCAGAGCAGAUGGAGCUCUGAGCAAGAUGGAGCUCUGAGCAGAUGGAGCUCAGAGCAGAUGGAGCUCUGAGCAAGAUGGAGUUAAGAGCAGAUGGAGCUCUGAGCAAGUUAAAGCUCAGAGCAGAUGGAGCUCUGAGCAAGAUGGAGCUUGGAGCAGAUGGAGCUCUGAGCAAGUUAAAGCUCAGAGCAGAUGGAGCUCUGAGCAAGAUGGAGCUUGGAGCAGAUGGAGCUCUGAGCAAGAUGGAGCUUGGAGCAGAUGGAGCUCUGAGCAAGUUAAAGCUCAGAGCAGAUGGAGCCCUGAGCAAGAUGGAGCUCAGAGCAGAUGGAGCUCUGAGCAAGAUGGAGCUAAGAGCAAGAUGGAGCUAAGAGCAGAUGGAGCUCUGAGCAAGAUGGAGCUCUGAGCAAGGUGAAGCUCGGAGCAGAUGGAGCUCAGAGCAGAUGGAGCUCUGAGCAGGUUAAAGCUCAGAGCAGAUGGGGCUUGGAGCAAGGUGGAGCUCAGAGCAAGAUGGAGCUCUGAGCAAGAUAGAGCUCUGAGCAAGAUGGGGCUCAGAGCAAGAUGGAGCUCGGAGCAAGAUGGAGCUCGGAGCAGAUGGAGCUCUGAGCAGAUGGAGCUCUGAGCAAGAUAGAGCUCAGAGCAGAUGGAGCCCUGAGCAAGAUGUAGCUCAAAGCAGAUGGGGCUUCAAUCAGAUGGUACUCAGAGCAAGAUGGAGCUUGGAGUAAUUGGAGUUUGAAACCAGAUGGAGCUCGGAGCAGAUAGAUCUCUGAUCAACAAGGAGUUUCAAGCAAGGUGGAGCUUGGAGCAGAUGUUGCUGGUAUAAGAUACACCUCAGAGCAGAUGUUGCUGGUGGGGUGGCAUAGGGAGGUUCGACCCCGGCAAAUCAGGCAGAGGUGCCCCUUGCUCCCUGCAACACCGCCCGGGUCCUGGGGCCACAAUGAACAUGAGCAGAGGGUGUGAGCAAGAGGCAGGGGACCUGGCCUGGGACCCCAGCCCAAAGCUGGGAAGUCGCCUAUCCCUGUGUGGGCGUGGACACUGGGGACUCUGGCUUUUCCAGCGGUUCGGCCACUUGAUUAGGUUUAUGCUCUGUGGGUGGUGGGGGGAUGGAGUGUUGGGAGGAUUGGCCCACCUGUAGGACUGGAGCUGCGGUAGAUAGGUGCUCUCCUUUCCAUUUCUCCUGGGAAGACAUCCAAGAACUGUUUUAUUACAAGGGGAGUUUGGAAAACAUAGCUCACCUUCUGCUGUGUAUUAGCCAAGAACAAGGUGUGAAGUAACUUCCCGAUUAUUGGGGAUCCCUUUGUCCCUUCUUGAGAUUAGAUAUCUUCAUCAGUGAGGUUUUGCCUGGAUGACCUCAGCACAAUUGGUACGAAACCUGAGCCAACUGUUUCCUACUUUCCUGGUUGUUGUCUUAAGCUUCUCUCCCAUAAGGUACCUUCCUAUCCUUUUUAUAACCUAAAUUAUCGCCUGAACUGUUUCAACUCCUACAGCUCUGGACAAGCUGCUUUUCAUUUGAUGGGUCCAUCCAAUCCCUGCACUUGCCCUGUUUUUCUCUAACCAGAUCUUUGGCCGCUUCUGCAGUCUUUGGGUAAAUGCUUGGGAGAAUCAUUUAAAGAUAUUUAUUCUGCCAUCAUGGCCCUAGUACCUCAGGGGGCAGUAAGAUGGCUUUUUAAGACUGGUCUAAUCAGAUCCUGAUUUCUUUUCCCUUCCUAGGUUUUGAAACAUGAAUCCUUCACUCCUCCUGGCUGCCUUUUGCCUGGGAAUUGCCUCAGCUGCUCUAACACAUGAUCACAUAUUAGAUGCACAAUGGCACAGGUGGAAGGCAAAGCACAAGAGAUUAUAUGGCACUGGUGGCACCUGAAACUGUUUAGGGGAACCCCAGAGCGAUGGGCCUUGCUAUUGGGAUCAUAUGGCUAGAGAGUAACUUCUAGAGGCUAGCUCUUACCAAUAACUUAAUGGCAACAAUUAUGAGCAUGAUAUGGGUAUACAUCCCUGUUGUGUCUCAGCUUGGAGAAUAGCUUCCAAAAGUGUCAAGCCUUCCCUUGCCAUGGUUUCUCUUCCAUCUCUGUCUGCAGAUUUACUUGAUGAGCACAGGUUGGCUUUUAGAUAGAAAUAAAGAGCAUCAGUUACAUGUUUGCCUCCAGAAUGAAGAAAAAUGGAGGACAGCAGUGUGGGAGACGAACGUGAAGAUGACGGAGCAGCACAACCAGGAAUACAGGCAAGGGAAACAGCUGCACAAUGGCCAUCUAAUGGCACUGGCUUUGUGGACAUCCCUUCAUGGGAGAACCUGACGAAGGCACUGGCAACUGUGGGGCCCAUCUCUGUUGCUGUUGAUGCAAGCCAUGUCUCCUUUCAGUUCUAUAGAAAAGGCAUCUAUUUUGAGUGACCCUAAAGACCUGGAUCAUACUAUACUGGUGGCUGGCUACGGCUAUGAAGGGCAGAGUCGGAUAACAACGAAUAUUGGCUGGUGAGGAACAGCUGGCGUAAACACUGGGGCAUGGAUGGCUACAUAAAGAUGGCCAAAGACCAGAGGAGCAACUGUGGAAUUGCCACAGCAGCCAACUACCUCACUGUGUGAGCUGAUGGAUGGUGAUGAGGGGACUCUACUGCGGAUGGCACAUCCAGAGGAGGAAUUUAUCUUCUGUCUAUCAGCCCCUCCUGCGUGGGAUGCACACUUCAGUCACACAUUGAAGCUGAAAAAGAAAUUUGAACAUAGACUCGUACAGAGGAAAGAUGAAGUGAGAACAGACAUCUAAGCCACAGAAUGAGGCCCUUCCCUCACAACUCUCAGAACCAAACCUGUUGACAUCCCUUUUUUUUUUUAAAUGAGACAGAGUCUCACACUGUCACCCAGGCUGGAGUGCAGUAACGUGAUCUCGGCUCACUGCAAUCUCCACCUCCCAGGUUCAACUGAUUCUCCUGCCUCAGCCUUCCAAGCAGCUGGGAUUAUAGGGGCCUACCAUCAUGCCCGGAUAACUUAUGUAUUUUUAGUAGAGAUGGGGUUUCACCAUGUUGGCCAGGCUGGUUUUGAACUCCUAGCCUCAAGUGAUCACUCACCUUGGCCUUCCAAAGUGUUGGGAUUACAGGCAUGAGCCACCGUGCCUGGCCCCUGUUGACAUCUUGAUCUCAGACUUCUGGGUUUCAGAAUGGUGGGAAAAUAAAUUGGUGUUUAAUCUA